Molecule: non-coding RNA, 1196 nt
Organism: Eimeria maxima
Lineage: Eukaryota; Apicomplexa; Conoidasida; Eucoccidiorida; Eimeriidae
Source: Rfam
AGGAAGAGUAUAUAGCGAAACUCGGAAAGAAGGAUCCGUACCUUCGGCAGACGGAUUGGCUAAGCGGGCCAAUCCGAAGAGCCAGAGGACUCUUCACCUGUCGGAGUUGCGUGGGCCCGUUCGUGCUUUGCGACUCGUCAGUGGACCGCUGAAACUGACUACGAUGUUACUGCUGGUCUGCGUAUACAGUGAACAGCUAACUUAGAAGUGGACCGAACAAGGGGCAUCCGACUGGUAAAUUAAUAGGAAACCUUGCGACGGCCGCACACGGUGAUGACGCAGUGAGAUUUCUGUCCAAUGCUCCGAUUGCCAAUGCAAUGAAAUGCAGUCCAGCGAGGGUUUUAACUGCGGAUAUAACUAGGAUGUUACACAUCUGAAAACUGCGCCUUAGAGUUGUGAGCAACGUCCUGGAGGAAAAGGGUAUCCAAUGCCUGCCCGUCCCGUUAGUGGCGUGCAUGAAUAAAUUGGUGAGAUUACCAUUGCCAGUAUAUUCUACAUUGCGAAGCCACAGAUAAGGGAACGGGCUUGGCGGAGAAAGAAGACCCUAUUGAGCUUGACCCUAGUCCGACUUGUGGACGAUCUGCGGGGAGUAGCGUGGGUGGGGCCUUCGGCAAUCGUGCCGUGCUACCCUCAGUGCCAUUUUAUUUAUUCGGUCAAGUUCAAGAAAAGCCAGGGGGGCGUUUAGCUGGGGCGGCACACCUGUGAAAUAAUAGCGCAAUGCGAACAGGAAUACCAUGUAAUCCAAAUGGGGGAUGGCUUCCUCGAUUUUCAUUUUCAGCACGUCUACAAACUAAAGCAUCGCCUUUCGAUCAUUUUGGCCAGAGAAACGUUCCUAUAGACAUGCUAAGGCAGUUGUGAUGGGGAUAUUUGGCUUGUGACAGCCAAAUUCAGGACAAGCAUGCGUUUUUAGAGUCGGAUUAUCUAGCCACCGAAUUACGGAACUAGAGCUAGGCUUAGAACCUUUUGAGGCACAUUAGUCCUACGCUGGUACUAAACUUGGUAGUGAGACAGAUACCCAGCUUGGUAAGCGAAGAGGAAUUGUUCCCGAUAUUACGCUAGCGGCAUUAUUAAACUAUCUUGAACAAUUCUUCCUCCCGUACUAAGUUGAAUUUCUUUCGCUAGUGCGGCGACGCUAUUAUCCUUUGGAUAUGAUUCAAUGCCUCUCAUUCAGAAUCCACAUGCCUUACUCUGGUGCA